ACUCUAUCACUUCUCUCAUUUGAUGUUGCAGUUUAGAUUCUCUUCACCUUUGAUAUAUCCCUAUUUUUACUGAUUUUAUCUAUGUUUUAGGUAUAGGAUUUUGAGUCUUUAUGUUAUUUCUCGAGUCUUUUUAGUGUCUUUUCAGGUAUUUUAUGCAUUGAGACAACAUUGGAGAUGAGGAGACAUUUUGGAGCAAAAGCUAAGGAAAAGGAAGCUAAGGACGAUCUCGGAUUCCAGAUUCAGAGGAAGUGUCGAUCGACACCAGGAGUGUAGGAUUUUGAUAUAUCUCUAUUUUUACUG
RNAcentral lists this small RNA (300 nucleotides) under Arabidopsis thaliana (thale cress). RNAcentral's name for it is "ATSL030100". Lineage: Eukaryota; Viridiplantae; Streptophyta; Magnoliopsida; Brassicales; Brassicaceae. The record is from RNAcentral.